CUACGGGGCGCUGCAGGCGCGAAACCUUUACAAUGCACGCAAGUGUGAUAAGGGGAUUCCAAGUGCUCAAGCAUUGCUUGGGCUUUUGUUAAGUGUAAAUAGCUUAGCGAAUAAGUGGUGGGAAAGACUGGUGCCAGCCGCCGCGGUAACACCAGCGCCACGAGUGGCAAUCACGUUUAUUGGGCCUAAAGCGUCCGUAGCAGGUUUCAUAAAUCUUUUGUGAAAUUGCCAGGCUCAACUUGGCAGUGUGCAGGAGACACUGUGAAACUCGAGACCGGGAAGGGUAAGAGGUAUUCCUGAGGGAGCGGUAAAAUGCUAUAAUCUCAGGAGGACCACCUGUGGCGAAGGCGUCUUACUAGAACGGAUCUGACUGUGAGGGACGAAAGCUAGGGGAGCAAACCGGAUUAGAUACCCCUGUUGUC
This 422-nucleotide ribosomal RNA is filed under the name uncultured archaeon. Its description in RNAcentral is "partial 16S ribosomal RNA". It matches the Rfam family "Archaeal small subunit ribosomal RNA", at positions 323 to 746 of the family's 1478-position model. The record is from RNAcentral.